GACGAACGCUGGCGGCGUGCUUAACACAUGCAAGUCGAACGGAAAGGCCCCUUUGGGGGUACUCGAGUGGCGCACGGGUGAGUAACACGUGAGUAACCUGCCCUUGACUUCGGGAUAACUUCAGGAAACUGGGGCUAAUACCGGAUAGGAAUCCUUGCUGCAUGGUGGGGGUUGGAAAGCUUCGGCGGUUUUGGAUGGACUCGCGGCUUAUCAGCUUGUUGGUGGGGUAGUGGGUUACCAAGGCUUUGACGGGUAGCCGGCCUGAGAGGGCGACCGGCGACAUUGGGACUGAGGAACGGCCCAGACUCCGACGGGAGGAAGAAGGGGGGAAUAUUGAACCAUGGGCGGCAGCCGGAUGCAGAAACGCCGCGUGCGGGAUGACGGGCUUCGGGUUGUAAACCGGCUUCAGCAGGGGCGAAGCUUGUGGUGACGGUACCUGCAGAAGAAGCACCGGCUAACUACGUG
RNAcentral lists this ribosomal RNA (465 nucleotides) under uncultured bacterium. Its description in RNAcentral is "partial 16S ribosomal RNA". It matches the Rfam family "Bacterial small subunit ribosomal RNA", at positions 28 to 507 of the family's 1533-position model. The record is from RNAcentral.